UUUGUAAUCUACAGAGCCAAAAA
RNAcentral lists this small nuclear RNA (23 nucleotides) under Arabidopsis thaliana (thale cress). RNAcentral's name for it is "snRNA_09220". Lineage: Eukaryota; Viridiplantae; Streptophyta; Magnoliopsida; Brassicales; Brassicaceae. The record is from RNAcentral.